UACAGAGGUCUCAAGCGUUGUUCGGAUUCAUUGGGCGGAAAGGGUGCGUAGGCGGCGCGGUAAGUCGGGUGUGAAAUCUCGGAGCUUAACUCCGAAACUGCAUUCGAUACUGCCGUGCUUGAGGACUGGAGAGGAGACUGGAAUUUACGGUGUAGCGGUGAAAUGCGUAGAUAUCGUAAGGAACACCAGUGGCGAAGGCGGCCAACUGGUCCGGUACUGACGCUGAGGUGCGAAAGCGUGGGGAGCAAACAGG
Molecule: ribosomal RNA, 253 nt
Filed under: uncultured bacterium
Lineage: Bacteria
Description: partial 16S ribosomal RNA
Rfam family: Bacterial small subunit ribosomal RNA
Source: RNAcentral